Molecule: ribosomal RNA, 465 nt
Filed under: uncultured bacterium
Lineage: Bacteria
Description: partial 16S ribosomal RNA
Rfam family: Bacterial small subunit ribosomal RNA
Source: RNAcentral
CCUACGGGAGGCAGCAGUAGGGAAUCUUCCACAAUGGGCGCAAGCCUGAUGGAGCAACACCGCGUGAGUGAAGAAGGGUUUCGGCUCGUAAAGCUCUGUUGUUGGUGCAGAACGUGCGUGCGAGUAACUGUUCACUCCGUGCCGGUCUCCUACCAGAAAGUCACGGCUAACUACGUGCCAGCCGCCGCGGUAAUACGUAGGUGGCAAGCAUUAGCCGGAUUUAUUGGGCGUAAAGCGAGCGCCGGCGGUUGGUUAGGACUGGUGGGAACGGCUGCGGCUUAACCGAAGAAGUGCAUGGGAGAACGGGCGACUUGAGUGCAGAAGAGGACAGUGGAAGUCCAUGGGUAGCGGUGGAAUGCGUAGAUAUAAGGAAGAACACCAGUGGCGAAGGCGGCUGUCUGGUCUGCAACUGACGCUGAGGCUCGAAAGCAUGGGUAGCGAACAGGAUUAGAUACCCCAGUAGUC